RNAcentral lists this ribosomal RNA (480 nucleotides) under Lactarius subsericatus. Its description in RNAcentral is "eukaryotic LSU rRNA". The stretch from base 53 to 211 matches the Rfam family "5.8S ribosomal RNA". The record is from RNAcentral. Lineage: Eukaryota; Fungi; Basidiomycota; Agaricomycetes; Russulales; Russulaceae.
UUUAAAAAGUGUAGAAUGAACUCAUUUAUGCGCAUAACCCGCAAUCAAUACAACCUUUCAACAACGGAUCCUCGUUGGCCUCUCGCAUCGAUGAAGAACGCAGCGAAAUGCGAUACGUAAUGUGAAUUGCAGAAUUCAGUGAAUCAUCGAAUCUUUGAACGCACCGUUGCGCCCCUUGGUAUUCCGAGGGGCACACCCGUUUUGAGUGUCGUGAAAACCCUCAACCUCCUUGGUUUCUUCUGGAGACCAAAGCAGGCUUUGGACUUUUGGAGGCCUUUGCUGGCACCUCUUUUGGAGGCCAGCUCCUCUUAAAACAAAUUAGCAGGGGUCCUCUUUGCCGAUCCUUGACGUGUGAUAAAGAUGUUUCCAUGUCUUGGUUUCUGGCUCUGUCACUUUUUGGGACCCGCUUCUAACCGUCUGGACCUUGCGUCGAGACAACGUUCGAGCACGUCUCCCUUCUCGGGAAGCUCCCUCGACCCC